GAAAAUCAUACUUUGAACACUUUUUGGAGUCUCAAAGUUGGCUUUAUAAGUUAGCACCAAACCUGUGUUCAGUGCAAGUAGGAAAGCAUGAAUUUGGCAUGUUAGUGCUUUGUUUUUUUAAGACAUAACAGGGAAAAUGCUAUAACCAUUCUAACAGCCGAUGAGGCUUGCUUUUACAAAAGGAUCUUGUGAUCGAGCAAGGUAAGAUGGUUUUAAUCAUUUAGUCAUUACAGAAAAAAAAAUUUUUUAAGGCAGGAUCUGUUUAAUCUGAGUUUGAACUCACCAUCCUUGUGCCUCAGCCUUCCCAGUGGUGAGAUCACUUCUGACUAAACGGUGAUGUGAAGAUUGGAGGUUGUUUGCUGUGGUUCCCGCUUUCCUGGCUUUCGCCCAGCAGUACUGACUUUAGUUCUCCCAGCAGAGAACUGGAACAGUCACCACACUCUACAGGUAAUUGUCUCUCACAUGCUUGAUUAACUGGGAUCUUGAACCUUUCUUCCCACUGACUGCUUCCCAAGGCUGCUGAGGAAUGAUGACAAUAAAAGGCCGAAUUGCAGUGUCUCCAUCAACAGUUUGCUCUCCGUGUGGGCACACGAUGACAAAACCUCCUGAAGCGAGUCACUGUCUGACCUCAGUAGUGCCAGUGUGGAAGCUUCCUGCCUGUGCUGAACUUCCCAAGUGUGGGGUGGGGGUGGGGGUGGCAGGAAAGCCUUCCUAUGCUAAGAAAAACAAUCAGGGUCUUAGAUUAGCUACGCUGACCAAGCAGUGUCAGUGUAACUUUAGAACACUUAUCAAAUCAAGGACUGCUAGAAUUGUAAACGCAACAGUAGCCCUUCUAGAACAAGAUAGCUAAAUAUGGCAGCAAUUUCCUUGGAGAAAGUUGAUGUUGUUUGCUCAAGAAAGGACGAAGUUUAAUCAGUGUGUAUCUAUUAUUAUCGAGAACUUGAGGACAUUUAGACAAAAGCAGUUUUACAGAUCAGGAAAACACUGUUCCACCAUGUCUGUCCUAAGCACCAGAUGUGGGCCUGAAGUAAAAUCAAUGCGGUAAAAUACAAUGUUGUGCUUUUAUGAUUCAACACAUUAGAAAAGCUACCUUUGCCUUUUCCAGCUCA
Molecule: long non-coding RNA, 1109 nt
Filed under: Rattus norvegicus (Norway rat)
Lineage: Eukaryota; Metazoa; Chordata; Mammalia; Rodentia; Muridae
Description: long non-coding RNA NONRATT029963
Rfam family: Small nucleolar RNA SNORD89 (bases 519-633)
Source: RNAcentral